This is a long non-coding RNA of Felis catus (domestic cat), 4984 nucleotides long. RefSeq lists it as uncharacterized. The record is from RefSeq and is a predicted model, not a curated record. NCBI's taxonomy places the organism in Eukaryota, Metazoa, Chordata, Mammalia, Carnivora, Felidae. The transcript is spliced from 4 exons.
GGGAGUUCUCUGUGCCUCUUGGAUUUCAAUACCUGUUUCCUUCCCUAGAUCAGGGAAGUUCUCAGCUAUGAUUUGUUCAAGUACACAUUCAGCCCCUUUCUCUCUCUCUUCUUCUUCUUGAUCUAAGCCACAGUUUUAUGUCCAAGGGUCAUGUUGUCUCUCCCUGGAAGACCUUGUUGCAUAAUGCUCUCUAUGCAAAUUCCUUCCCAUCCUCUAUGAUGCUGUCAUGCUGUGAAGUCUUUCAUGAACCCCAACCCAGUCACUCUAUCCCUGCACCUCAUAACUGUAAGCACACAGCUCCAUUAGUCCUUUCAUUGAUUGCAAACAAAAAUUUUCAUUUCUUCCUCUCUGUAAGAUUUAAGCUCCCAGAAGACCAUGGGUGUGUUUUAUUCAACUUUCUUCAAUGCAUGGUAGAGGGAGUGUGUUUCUCUAUUUGCAGUUUUCUGUCUAACCAUAAAGAUACACAAUCUUGCAUUAUAUUGCAGACUUCUUGAACUUUCAUUGUCUCACAGAGCCUUUGUCAUGCUUGAGCUGGAGAUUUCACUCUACACUUCUUUAUAAACAUAUUAAAUAAACACUGUGUUAGAAAGGCUUUCUGAGCAGCACUUGUGUAAACUACUUUGAUCAGAGAAGUUCCUGUUCAUUAUUGUCUUUUUUCUUCUCCCUAAAUUAAUUAUGAUUAACAUAAAAUUAGGCAACUGCCAUUAAAUCAUUUUUUUUUGCAGAAAAUUUCAAGUUUCUAAUUAAAAAAAAACAACUUGGAACCUAUUUUGUUUUGUCAUACUUAUUUUGGGUGUUUGGAGCUAUAUCCUGGCUACCUGAAUAAUGUUAGGCAAAGCCCUCACUUAGUUGGAUGUUCUAAAGACUUCCUAUCCCAUAUUAACUUGAUUUAAAACAUCUUGUUAGAGUUAAACUUGACCAGAUGUUUCUCUGUCUAUGGGCACCCCUUUCGGAAAUUCAAAUAGGUUGGUCAGAUAUCAUGUUUCCUUAUGGAAGUCAGGUCUUUCCCUCCUGAGGUUAUGUGUGCUUAGGUAGCUAUGGUUGUGUAUCACACUUAUGAAUAGGAAAAUGUAUUACUAGUUAUUUUUUGAAUUUUUCUUAUAUACUCAUCAUAAAACUAGAUGCAAAUGUAUUUAAUAUUCUGGUUCUGUCUUUUGCCUUCACUUAUUUUGCAAAUCAGAAGAAAUUCUUGUAUAGUUGUGGGAAUUAGACAGUUAGCUAGAAAGCAGGGAUUGUUUGCAAAUUCUUAAAAUAAUUCCUACACUUGGUUUCUGCAAAUUGUUCCUGGCUCUAAUCCUCACUGAUAGUGGGACACUUAGUGCUCUCUUGACAUUUUUACAAAGGUAGGCAAUGUCUGGGAGCCCUAUGGCUGAGAUUAUUUUAGGAUGAUAUCUCCCUCUGGCAAUAUAUAAUUAGACAAUUUUAUUUUGUGGUUAUAUUAUUAUUAUUAUUAUUAUUAUUAUUAUUAUUAUUUUAUUGCAAACAUUUUGAUUUUUUGAAAAAUGUCAGGAGAAACCUCUGUCUGUAUUGCUUUAUCCAAUUGAUUUUGGAUAAUAGAAAGUAUAUCCUGACAGCAUGAAUCAUGUUAGGCAAAACUAGGGUUUAAUUGUAUGUAUGUUCUAUAAUUCCCUACUGAUCAACAUAUAGUCUAUGAACCAGCAGUAUCUUUACACCUGGGAUGUUGAGAAAUGUGGAAUAUUUGGCCCCACCUGAGAUCUGCUGAACCAUAUCUGCAUUUUAACAAAAUUCCAAAGUGAUUUACAUGGACUCUAGAGUUUGAGAAACAUUCCUUAAAGGCACACACCCAUCACAUAUUUUGAAGGUCCUGAAAUCUAGGUCCUUGUUACUGUUAGUGGUUUGCAUACCAUUACAUAAGUAUCACCUGGGAGCUUGUUAGAAAUACACACUUUCAGGUCUAAGCCCUGAUCUCUUGAGGCAGAAUUUAAAUUUUAACAAGAUCCCCUGGUGGUUUCUAUGAACAUUAAAAUAUGAAAAGCAUUGAUCUAGAUUACACCAUCUUGUUGAAGCUAGCUUAACUUGAAUUCUAGUUGUAGAAUAAAUGUCCCCCCACCCCUCAGGUACCUCUUUAGUAGUCUUAGCUAGAGCAUUGCCAAUUUAGUAAAGAUGGCUACAGUCUCUAAGUACAUAAAGGAGGAAUCUACUCAACUUCUUUAAUAAUUGACGUACACUUCUGACAUUUGCCCUUGACUACUUCUCUCCAGACUCUAUCGUGGAUAAUUCUCUUACUCCCACUUAUUCUUAUAAAAAUAGAGGAGGAGUCUGUCAUACUUAUUUUCCUACUCAUAUGAUUUCCAGAGCAUUGUUCUACAAAAUUAUUUAACAAUUUCUUUUAAGAUAACAGGUCUCCAUAGGCAUUUGUUUCCUAAUUCCCAUUGUCCCAGCCAUGUCCCCAGUGUUUGCUGUCCUUCUGGGCAUUUUCCCUCUGUCCUGGAUGGCAGCUCCUCAUUCAGGUUUCUUCUUCCUCUCAAGGCCUGCUACCUUCCUAGUCUGUGGCAUUCUUAAUGCCACAGGUCACAGGCAUUCUUGGUGGUAUUAUCUUUAUUUUCUCUUUACUCAUGGUACCCUAGAGUAAUGUCAUCUUUGUCAUUCCAGUUCGCCCCUCUCCAAGCUCCUUCUUCCAAGAAUCUGGAAUUUCCUUUCAAGUUUCCUUUCAGUGGACUACAGCCUUUCUUCUCAAUUUCUUACUCUGGUUGUCUCCACCCAAACCUUGAAUUUCACCACAACCAUAAGCCAUCAUAACAGUGCCUUUAAUAGCAUCUUUGAAGGUUCUCUUUGACUUUUCCUGUAUUCCUCUCAACCCUAGACUGCCUCUGCCCACCUGCUUUCUCUGCUUUUGUUUUCAAGCUUUUAGGCUUGCUUGUGGAAAUUAUGAAACAAAGAUGAUUGAGUCAGAUAAUGUUUUUGGCUUUAUCACCUCAGCCAGAUGUUCUCUUCUACCCCACUGUCCUUUUACAUGUUUACUGUAGUACCCAAUCCCAUGUGCGUCUUUUUAAUUUCUUAGAAGUGGGAGAUACUCUUUUCAUAGUGAAUGGUGGUAAGGAUCUAUGCUUUCAGAUUAAAUUUGCUGGUAGGUUUCUAAAUCAUGGUGCUUUUAUUUCAUUACAAUUUUUCUUUAGAACAGUUACAAUAAAAAUAUAUUUGUCACAUUGCUGUGCUGCAGAUUUUAUUAUGGUCUUUAGAUGCAGAUGGCUUUUACCUUCUUGUGGAUAUAAACCACAGUAACAAAGAUCUGGUGCUUAAUUGGUCUCAUUUCCUCUUAAGCAUUGUCACUUUAAAAAUUGCUACUUAGAAGAAUGAAAAGAGGACAUUAAGAUUUCUUUCCUAGUGGCAUUAAAUGGUAAGGAAGCACAAUUCAGUUAUAAUCUGUUCAGUUAUAUUGGAUAGCCAACAAGACUAAAUGAAUUAAAAAAUAAAAGAAAUGCUUGUUGGUUUAUGGUCAAAACAUCUCUAGGAAUUUUGUACUGUUGGUGCAGUAAAAAAGUAAUUGUUUUAUUAAAUUGCUUCAGUGUCCCCAGCAUUGCACCACUAACUGUGGUGGAGCCAGAGGAAGUACAGGAUAUUUUAUCUGACUGGAAAAACUUGUAUUAUACAUUGGAGAAAAAAAUGGUAAUACACACAAAUGCUGUGAGAUAGAAUGUGAUAUAAAACACAACCUUUUUACAAAGGUUAAUGAUGUCCUGUUGCCCAAAAUAGAGUCCAUGCUCCGUGGAAUAGUGUGCUUGCUCAUUAACCUCUGGGUCCUAACCACCCUUUCCAGCAUCAUCUUCCUCCAUUGCAUGCCCCUGAAACAUGCCCUACACUCCAGUCACUUUGAUGUGCUUAUUAUUGCAGAAUGUAUCAUCUACUUCAAUACCUGCCUGCUUUGGUGAAAUUUUGAAACGAGCAAGUUUACCUUUUUGCCAUUGUGUUUUCCCAUUGCUACCACCACAGAGCUAAAGCCUAUUACUGGAAGGCUGCCUUGGGCAAAACCGUGAAAUAGAAGUACAACAGCGAACAAAACGGAUCCAAGUUCCUGCCCUGAUGAUGCUUACAUUAUAGUCAAGGAAGACAGACAAAAUAGGUGUUAAUACUUUAUUAGUUAGAAAUGGAUUUGGGGAUUUUUCUUACACUCUGAAGGUAAGCAUGGAAAAUUAGGACUGUACUCCCUGUAUCUGUCUGUGAAUAUACUAUCACUCAGUCACCCUAGCCAGAACAGUAGAAAUCAUCUUAAAAUAUCUAAAACCCAUGUGUUCUACCUUUUAAAUUUCUGUCCUUAUUAAGGUUAUCUGAGGCCUCCCUUUUGCUAAAUUCAGUGAAAAAGUCUUAACCCUCAUUUUUCGUGCCUAUCAGUUAAGAUGACAUAGAUGGUCAUUCCCUUUAUCUUGAAUAAGUUUCUUCACUUGGUUAGUUUUCUUUGUUUGUUCUUCCUCUUUCUAAUCUCUAAUAACUGGAAUCCCUCAGCGCUCAUUCCUUGGGCCUUUUCUUUGACAAUACAAAUCAUCUCUUGAUGAUUUCAUCCAGGCUCGUAGUUUUAAACAUCAUUCAUAUGAAGAUAUUUCCCAAAUUUGUCUGUUUAGCCCAGAUUUCUCUCCUGAACUGCAGACUCAUUUAGGCAGUGGUCCCCUUCUCAUUUCUACUUGUAUGUCUAAUUAGCUUUGGAGUCUAAUAUAUGAAGCUGAAAUCCUGGUCAUUCUUAUGAAACCUGCUCCUCUCAUAGUCCUCCUCAUCUCAGUAAUUGGCUAUUUCAUCCUUCCAGAUUCUCAGGCCAAAACAACUUGGGGUUAUGCUUGACUCCUCCCUUUUUCUCAUACUUCACAUUUAAUCUGUCAGUAAAUGUUGUUGGCUCUAUCUUCAAAAUAUAUGCAGAAUAUAGGUUACUUCUCAUUACCUCUACCUUUCCAAGCCACCAUCAUCUUUUACCUAUUUUUUGUAAGGGCCUCCUUUUUUUUUUUUUUUUUAAUAUUUAUUUCUGAGAGAGAGAGAG